GCCCAACCGUAAACUUUAAUUUACAUCUAUAUCGCCUGGGAACUACGAGCAAAGCUUAAAACCCAAAGGACUUGACGGUACCCCAAAUCCACCUAGAGGAGCCUGUCCUAUAAUCGAUAACCCCCGUUUAACCUCACCAUUUCUAGCUAAUCAGCCUGUAUACCUCCGUCGUCAGCUUACCACGUGAGCGAAUAUAAGUGAGCUUAAUGCCUCUACACCAAUACGUCAGGUCAAGGUGCAGCAAAUGUAAUGGGAAGAGAUGGGCUACACUCUCUAAUAUAGAGAAUACGAAAGGCUACAUAUGAAAACUAGCCGGAAGGCGGAUUUAGAAGUAAAAAGAAACAAG
This 346-nucleotide ribosomal RNA is filed under the name Pleurodema thaul (Chile four-eyed frog). Its description in RNAcentral is "partial 12S ribosomal RNA". It matches the Rfam family "Bacterial small subunit ribosomal RNA", at positions 794 to 1352 of the family's 1533-position model. The record is from RNAcentral. Lineage: Eukaryota; Metazoa; Chordata; Amphibia; Anura; Leptodactylidae.